Molecule: long non-coding RNA, 1106 nt
Organism: Dromiciops gliroides (monito del monte)
Lineage: Eukaryota; Metazoa; Chordata; Mammalia; Microbiotheria; Microbiotheriidae
Exons: 7
Source: RefSeq, a predicted model, not a curated record
CAACCAAAGAACACUGUCUUUGAACAGAUGAUGAAUUAGUGGUUUAUUCCCAUUCUGGGAUUGGAUGUAAGAGUGAUUUCUAAUGGAAACAAGUAGAUUUGUCCCUUUGGUAAAUAAUAUCUUUUUUUCUAAGCCAAAUGGCAGUCUUUGGAAAUAAGUCCUCAUACAAAUUUGAGUUCAUUUUUAUAUUUUUGAGUCCUUUAGUACUUUUCAAACACUAGGAAUUAUGAAUAGAAGGAAAAGAAAAAUGAAUGUUAUAAUUCCAGUAAAUACCAGCAAGGUGAAUAAACAAAGCAGGUGCUAAGAAGAUAUCAUGGUAUCCUCUGCUAAAGGACCGCACGCUCCAAUCAGAGAAACAGAGGAUACUGAAGAAGUGUGAGUGCCAAAGCUGGUUGGAUCUUAUAUCAUGUGUGCAGCAUCCUGAAGUGAGUAGUUGGGAUAUAAGAAGACCGGCACUUGAUUGAACUGGAGAAGAGUCUACAGGCCAAGCUAUGGCAGCUAUCUUCAGAUGGUGGCCUUUCCAAACCUUUGUAAGCAGAACCUGAUAAAUUCAUCAGAGGGUCAUAGCUUCAGUUAUUUCUCCAGAUGUUGGCUGUGACUAAGUCGAACAGUCUUUAUGCCAAGUCUUCAAUCAAGAAAUGAUUCCUCUUUUUCUGAAGAACUAUCUUAUAGUAUCAAAUGAAUACUUUUUUCCCUCUCCCCACUCCCAUCUCUGCCCCUUUGUGAGUAUCCUAGCAAAAGGAUGACUGCUGGAUUUUCACUGGAGUGGACUUAGUUGUUUGACUAUUUUUUUAGGAGCAGCUCUAGGACCUAACUUUCUAAAAUACGGAGGACAUGGGGUGCAGAGGAUAGAACCAUCAGGAAGAAGUGAAAAUAGAGAUCUUUGCCUGGAGGAAUAAACGAAUAUGCCUUACUAUCAAAAGAGGCCCAUUUUGAAAAAAGAGAACAUCAGAAAAUACAGUCAAGAGUGCUUUAUCCAAGUUUAUAAAGGAGAGAGAAGUAUGACUGAACUACUAAAAGAACUGGUGUGAUGAAGAUGACUAGAUCUGGAAGUCUGAGUAGCCUGGAUUCAAAUCCUGUCUCUGACACAGACCAGCUCUAUGACC